GAUGAACGCUGGCGGCGUGCCUAAUACAUGCAAGUCGAGCGAACAGAUGAGGAGCUUGCUCCUCUGACGUUAGCGGCGGACGGGUGAGUAACACGUGGAUAACCUACCUAUAAGACUGGGAUAACUUCGGGAAACCGGAGCUAAUACCGGAAAAUAUAUUGAACCGCAUGGUUCAAUAGUGAAAGACGGUUUUGCUGUCACUUAUAGAUGGAUCCGCGCCGCAUUAGCUAGUUGGUAAGGUAACGGCUUAUCAAGGCAACGAUGCGUAGCCGACCUGAGAGGGUGAUCGGCCACACUGGAACUGAGACACAGUCCAGAGUCCUACGGGAGGCAGCAGUAUGGAAUCUUCCGCAAUGGGCGAAAGCUUGACGGAGCAACGCCGCGUGAGUGAUGAAGGUCUUCGGAUCGUAAAACUCUGUUAUUAGGGAAGAACAAAUGUGUAAGUAACUAUGCACGUCUUGACGGUACCUAAUCAGAAAGCCACGGCUAACUACGUG
RNAcentral lists this ribosomal RNA (497 nucleotides) under uncultured bacterium. RNAcentral describes it as "partial 16S ribosomal RNA". It matches the Rfam family "Bacterial small subunit ribosomal RNA", at positions 28 to 507 of the family's 1533-position model. The record is from RNAcentral.